This 380-nucleotide ribosomal RNA is filed under the name Bacillus cereus. RNAcentral's name for it is "bacterial SSU rRNA". It matches the Rfam family "Bacterial small subunit ribosomal RNA", at positions 353 to 725 of the family's 1533-position model. The record is from RNAcentral. Lineage: Bacteria; Bacillati; Bacillota; Bacilli; Caryophanales; Bacillaceae.
AGUAGGGAAUCUUCCGCAAUGGACGAAAGUCUGACGGAGCAACGCCGCGUGAGUGAUGAAGGCUUUCGGGUCGUAAAACUCUGUUGUUAGGGAAGAACAAGUGCUAGAAUNNNAGCUGGCACCUUGACGGUACCUAACCAGAAAGCCACGGCUAACUACGUGCCAGCAGCCGCGGUAAUACGUAGGUGGCAAGCGUUAUCCGGAAUUAUUGGGCGUAAAGCGCGCGCAGGUGGUUUCUUAAGUCUGAUGUGAAAGCCCACGGCUCAACCGUGGAGGGUCAUUGGAAACUGGGAGACUUGAGUGCAGAAGAGGAAAGUGGAAUUCCAUGUGUAGCGGUGAAAUGCGUAGAGAUAUGGAGGAACACCAGUGGCGAAGGCGAC